GAUGAGCGCUGGCGGCGUGCCUAAUACAUGCAAGUCGAGCGAACGGACGAGAAGCUUGCUUCUCUGAUGUUAGCGGCGGACGGGUGAGUAACACGUGGAUAACCUACCUAUAAGACUGGGAUAACUUCGGGAAACCGGAGCUAAUACCGGAUGAUAUUUUGAACCGCAUGGUUCAAAAGUGAAAGACGGUCUUGCUGUCACUUAUAGAUGGAACCGCGCUGCAUUAGCUAGUUGGUAAGGUAACGGCUUACCAAGGCAACGAUGCAUAGCCGACCUGAGAGGGUGAUCGGCCACACUGGAACUGAGACACGGUCCAGACUCCUACGGGAGGCAGCAGUAGGGAAUCUUCCGCAAUGGGCGAAAGCCUGACGGAGCAACGCCGCGUGAGUGAUGAAGGUCUUCGGAUCGUAAAACUCUGUUAUUAGGGAAGAACAUAUGUGUAAGUAACUGUGCACAUCUUGACGGUACCUAAUCAGAAAGCAACGGCUAACUACGUG
This 497-nucleotide ribosomal RNA is filed under the name uncultured bacterium. Its description in RNAcentral is "partial 16S ribosomal RNA". It matches the Rfam family "Bacterial small subunit ribosomal RNA", at positions 28 to 507 of the family's 1533-position model. The record is from RNAcentral.